Misgurnus anguillicaudatus (oriental weatherfish) is the source of this 3494-nucleotide non-coding RNA. The record is from RefSeq and is a predicted model, not a curated record. NCBI's taxonomy places the organism in Eukaryota, Metazoa, Chordata, Actinopteri, Cypriniformes, Cobitidae.
AAAGUGCCUACUGUUGAAACACAUCUGAUCUCAUCUGAAAGCUGAUUCCAGCUACAGGUUUAUACUGUUGUAUUCUUUUAUACUGUUUCAUUCGUACUGUUUUAAAUUCUUCAGUAAAUGCAAAGUUAAACCGAUCAUACUGUUGUAUUCUUUUAUACUGUUUUAUUCGUACUGUUUAUUCAGUAAAUGCAAAGUUAAACCGUUGUGUCUUUAAUCUAGAUUUAAAAGUGCCUACUGUUGAAACACAUCUGAUCUCAUCUGAAAGCUGAUUCCAGCUACAGGUUUAUACUGUUGUAUUCUUUUAUACUGUUUCAUUCGUACUGUUUUAAAUUCUUCAGUAAAUGCAAAGUUAAACCGAUGUGUCUUUAAAUCUAGAUUUAAAAGUGCCUACUGUUGAAAUACAUUUGAUCUCAUCUGAAAGCUGAUUCCAGCUACAGGUUCAUACUGUUGUAUUCUUUUAUACUGUUAUAUUCGUACUGUUUUAAAUCAUUCAGUAAAUGCAAAGUUAAACCGAUCAUACUGUUGUAUUCUUUUAUACUGUUUAAUUCGUACUGUUUUAUAUUCUUCAGUAAAUGCAAAGUUAAAUCGAUGUGUCUUUAAUCUAGGUUUAAAAGUGCCCACUGUUGAAACACAUCUGAUCUCAUUUGAAAGCUGAUUCCAGCUACAGGUUCAUACUGUCGUAUUCUUUUAUACUGUUUUAUUCGUACUGUUUUAAAUCAUUCAGUAAAUGCAAAGUUAAAACGAUCAUACUGUUGUAUUCUUUUAUACUGUUUUAUUCGUACUGUUUUAAAUCAUUCAGUAAAUGCAAAGUUAAACCGAUGUGUCUUUAAUCUAGAUUUAAAAGUGCCUACUGUUGAAACACAUCUGAUCUCUUCUGAAAGCUGAUUCCAGCUACAGGUUCAUGCUGUUGUAUUCUUUUAUACUGUUUCAUUCGUACUGUUUUAAAUCAUUCAGUAAAUGCAAAGUUAAACCGUCGUGUUUUUCAUCUAGAUUUAAAAGUGUCUACUGUUGAAACACAUCUGAUCUCUUCUGAAAGCUGAUUCCAGCUCCAGGUGGCAUAUUAACUGAAUGCUGAUGCACCUUGUAUUUCGAUUGCUUUGCCUGCUUGAAACAUGUGAAGAAUUGACAAUAAAUAAUCUUUAUCAAGUGUUAUACAUUAAAAAGUGGAUAAGUAACAAAAAUGUCACCCCUGACAGCUGAUAAAUUAAUGUUUUUUUAUAGCACCAUUGAGGCGAGCACUUUUCAAGGCAAGAUUCUUUAUAGAACCUUAUAAAAAGUUUCCAUAUAGUACCAAAAAACGGGUUCUGCUGUGGUUACAUGCUGAGGAACCCUUAUUUGGUACUUUUUAGGAGCAUUUGUCUUAAGAGCGUUGCAUAGGUUCGAAACUUUCAAACUUGAAACCAAAUAGAAGGGUCACACUGUUUUAUUUGUGGAGUGGACAUGAACAAGCUGCAGGCAUUCAAAUGUUAUUUGUAAUGUAUUGUCUUAUUUCAUAUUAAAAAAAUAGCUAUACAACUGGUGUUCCUCAAUUUUAGGGCCUAUUUUGUUUAGUAUAUCAGUUUUGUUCAGUUUUUUAAGUGCAUGCAAAAAGCAAUCAGCAAGCAAAUUAACUGAAGCUUUACCUUCAUGUUCUUUUUGUGUAAGUGAUAACUGUUUCUGUAUGUAUUUUAUGUAUUUGUAUGUUUUUUACACGUAUAGAGUGAAAUGCACACGGUGAGGAAUGGACCCAGACCUUCAGUGCCAGACCUCUGACCCGUUAACCUCCAUCCCGACAGCCAGCGCCUUCUCCGGCACCCAUUGCGGUAUCGCUUCUCGGCUUUUUGGACAAGAUCAAGUGGACACCGGGGACUACAAGUUUAAAUGGAUUUUUGACCUUCGGAAAUGGAAGCGAGGCUUGCUCCGUCCACUCCAUUCAUCGACUCGGGCGCUUUCCGGGCACAAAUAAGUUUGCGGAGGUGAUACCAGGACGAAUUAAACAGCCUCGACACAGCUGAAGGCGCAACAAAAUCGUACGAGACAGUUUGGGAUGUUAAAAACACCUGAAAACUUUUUUUUUCCACUACCCUUCAUACUACAGCUGUCGAAAAACCACAGCAACGUCGACACGCCUGGAAGCACGGCUGUCGAAGAACCACAGCAACGUCGGCAGAUCUGGAAGCAUAGCUGUAUUUGUUUAACUCACAACGACAACGGCUGUCGAAAAACCACAGCAACGUCGACAGACCUGGAAGCAAAGCUGUAUUUGUUUAACUUGCAAAGACAACGGGUAAAGUAUUUUCUUGAUUACCUAAAUGACUUGCAGUAAGAAAAUAUUUCAAUUUAUAAUAAUGAUAAUUCUGUCAUCAUUUACUCAUCCUCCUGUUGUUUUAAACCUGUAUGCGUUCGUUUUUUCUGAUUAACACAAAAGAAGAUAUUUUGAGGAAUGAUGGUAAACCCACAGCAGAUAGUGACCAAUGACUUCCAUAGUAGGAAUAAAAAAUAUGAUGAAAUUUAAUAGGUACCAUCAACUGUGUGCUAACCAUCAUUUUUCAAAAUAUUUUCUUCAUCAUUUAUCACGAUACUUCCAAAAUAUUUUUUUCCUACUAUGGAAGUCAAUGAUAAUGUAUUUCAUUAUUUGCUUUACAAGCCUGAAAAUGAUAGGUUGGAAUCCAGGUGACAGGAUUCUAUGGUAGUCAAAAACAGGUAAACAAGUAAAAUAAUCACCAUUUACUUUUAAAGCAUUUUGAAAAUUGCUUGCUUAUGCUGGAAGUAAAGGUAUUUAAUGCAGUGCGCGUCCUGUUUAAAAGGUAAUGUAUGAUUCUUUUAAAGCUGACACAUUUGCCACAUUAAAAUAACAGAAAUGUACUGUUUCAACAUUUUGGAGCCGGUGUGUCUGUGUUCUUGGGGCACAUCUAAAUGUAAGAGCAGAAUUGCUUAUUAUUCUUCUCUAUUUCUUGUAUAGGUCAAUUAUGAGUGAAGAACCGUGCACCAAAUGAAGACCACGGCCAGGUGCCGGGAUUGUGUGGUAAUCACAAACAGGUUGAAAAUUGAAGUUCUGUGUGUUCUUUUUGUACUUUAUUUAUUUCUGCAGGUAAGCACCAUACCGUAAGCUUCAUUCCCUUUAUAACAGGUAAGGUUCAUACUGUUUUAUUCUUUUAUACUGUUUUAUUUUAAAUCAUUCAGUAAAUGCAAAGUUAAACCGAUGGUGUUUUUAAUCUAGAUUUAAAAGUGCCUACUGUUGAAACACAUCUGAUCUCAUCUGAAAGCUGAUUCCAGCUACACAGGUUCAUACUGUUGUAUUCUUUUAUACUGUUUUAUUCGUACUGUUUUAAAUCAUUCAGUAAAUCUAAAGUUAAACCGAUCAUACUGUUGUAUUCUUUUAUACUGUUUUAUUCGUACUGUUUUAAAUCAUUCAGUAAAUGCAAAGUUAAACCGAUCAUACUGUUGUAUUCUUUUAUACUGUUUUAUUCGUACUGUUUUAUAUUCUUCAGUAAAUGCAAAGUUAAACCGAUGUG